RNAcentral lists this ribosomal RNA (244 nucleotides) under uncultured bacterium. RNAcentral describes it as "partial 16S ribosomal RNA". It matches the Rfam family "Bacterial small subunit ribosomal RNA", at positions 32 to 263 of the family's 1533-position model. The record is from RNAcentral.
AAUCAACGCUGGCGGCGUGCCUAACACAUGUAAGUCGAACGCGAGAGGGGCUUCGGCCCUGAUUGAGUGGCAAACGGGUGAGAACGCGUGGGUGACCUACCUUCGAGUGGGGGAUAACGUUCCGAAAGGGACGCUAAUACCGCAUAACAUCCUGUCUUUGGACAGAUGGAGAUCAAAGCCGGGAUCGUAAGACCUGGCGCUUGAGGAGGGCCCGCGUCCGAUUAGCUAGUUGGUGGGGUAANGG